AAGUCGUAACAAGGUUUCCGUAGGUGAACCUGCGGAAGGAUCAUUAACACGUAUCCAAACGUAAAAAAACCCCCCCCCGUGAACAUUCAAUCCUGCUCUUGUAACCCGCGUAGUUCGCAAUCUCUGGUAAAUCAUAGCCCGGAAAGUAGUUUUGAUUCAGAGACCUCUGGCUACGUGAGAACAUUGGAACAGUUACAAUCGAGCGGUAGUAAGCAGUUAGUGUCUGAAAGUGUCACUGAUUGUGCAAGGAUAGCGCUUCAACGAUUCCUGUAGACCGUACACUCGGGCAGGAGCUAUGCCAAAGGGUCCCCAUGCCCCCUUAUAACCCCACAGUUUAAUGUGAAGCUCAAUGUAAUACAUUGGGUAAAAAAACCGAACAACUGUUAACAAUGGAUAUCUUGGGUCUC
RNAcentral lists this unclassified non-coding RNA (407 nucleotides) under fungal sp. Its description in RNAcentral is "partial internal transcribed spacer region". The stretch from base 1 to 46 matches the Rfam family "Eukaryotic small subunit ribosomal RNA", at positions 1786 to 1831 of the family's 1831-position model. The record is from RNAcentral. Lineage: Eukaryota; Fungi.